Fukomys damarensis (Damara mole-rat) is the source of this 192-nucleotide unclassified non-coding RNA. The record is from Ensembl. NCBI's taxonomy places the organism in Eukaryota, Metazoa, Chordata, Mammalia, Rodentia, Bathyergidae.
GCCCAGAAGACCGAGUGGCCCAGAGACUACGGGGAAGAGGGCGGGGCCAGGCGCGGCUCUGACAACCAUUGGAGGGCUUCGGGUUGGGCGGGCCGGAGACUACAUUUCCCAGGGAUCAACGCAGGCCGGAAAGGGAGCGCCUCAGGUGUAGGGCGCACGCGCACCAGCAGCCUGUGCCUAUAUAAGGGCGGU